GGACAUGCAGUGGGCUGUUGCAUGGUACAGCUGUGAGCAUGGUCGGCGCGUGACUGCUGGAUUAUGACAAUAUGCCGCGUGUACAAAGCCCAUGAACCAAUAGACAGGAUGGCUAUGGCACGUGCAGCACGCCUGGCCAGCAAGCGCAUGCGUCAUAGGCUCCCCAUGUUGCAACCGAGGCGGAUUUUGGCACCCGCUGGCCACGUGUGCUGAAAUCUGUUCCUCUGCAGAUGAAUAAAUACCGGGAUUUUCCAAAGAGCACCGGGCUGGUGUACGGCAAGGCCAUCGUUGCCUCUGUGGGGACGCCCACGUAAAGCUGGCACCUACCGAUUGCUGGGCUGAGUUCGCGGAGCAAUACAGCACAAGAAUGUACGGAUGGUCCAUCUUCCUCACAGUCCUCGGAUGGACGUAGUCAUGGAUACCGCCGCAAGCCAAAGAAAACAUCUGGAUGACCCUGGCUGACGUGACCGGACAAGAUUGCUUAUGCCUCCAUACAGCAACACCAAGCAAUCCCUUUUUCACAGGUUUAAUAGGGGGUUCCACUGGCAUCAACGAAGUUUAAGAACUUAUUGAUGGAGACCCCUGUGCAGCAGGUCAUGGACUCAAUGGAUGGGAAUGCCUGGUUUCCACGGAUCGGGCAUUCACCCUCAUUGCCACCCCAGGAAUCACAAAUUCUGGGAUCCCUGAAUACAGAUUGGUGUAGUAUUAUCUGAUUUACUGUUAGAUGUAGAUAGUAUUAGACACACAACCUUACAAAAUAG
This is a long non-coding RNA of Aquila chrysaetos chrysaetos, 761 nucleotides long. RefSeq lists it as uncharacterized. The record is from RefSeq and is a predicted model, not a curated record. The transcript is spliced from 3 exons. Lineage: Eukaryota; Metazoa; Chordata; Aves; Accipitriformes; Accipitridae.